AGGGUUUGAUCAUGGGCUCAGAACGAACGCUGGCGGCGUGGAUAAGGCAUGCAAGUCGAACGCGAAAGCCACCUUCGGGUGGUGAGUAGAGUGGCAAACGGGUGAGUAACACGUGGGCAACCUUCCUCUAGGUGGGGGACAACCCUCGGAAACGAGGGCUAAUACCGCAUAAUAUCGUCGAAACUCCUGUUUUGACGAUCAAACGGCGGGGAUCUCUUCGGAGACCUGUCGCCAAGAGAUGGGCCCGCGCACGAUUAGCUUGUUGGUGAGGUAACGGCUCACCAAGGCUUCGAUCGUUAGCCGACCUGAGAGGGUGACCGGCCACACUGGGAUUAAGAUACGGCCCAGACUCCUACGGGGGGCAGCAGUCUAGAAGCUUCGACAAUGGAGGAAACUCUGAUCGAGCGACGCCGCGUGCAGGACGAAGGUCUUCGGAUCGUAAACUGCUUUCGCCAGGGGAGAAAGGCGCAUCGGUUAAUAGCCUUUGCGUCAGACGGUACCUGGUAAAGAAGCUCCGGCUAAGUCCGUGCCAGCAGCCGCGGUAAUACGGGCGGAGCAAGCGUUGUUCGGAAUUAUUGGGUGUAAAGGGUGCGCAGGCGGUCGUUUAAGUCGGACGUGAAAUUUCCACGGCUCAACCGGGAAACUGCGUCCGAUACUGAUCGACUUGAGUACGGGAGGGGAGCGUGGAAUUCCUGG
This 696-nucleotide ribosomal RNA is filed under the name uncultured bacterium. Its description in RNAcentral is "bacterial SSU rRNA". It matches the Rfam family "Bacterial small subunit ribosomal RNA", at positions 8 to 673 of the family's 1533-position model. The record is from RNAcentral.